UUAAGUGAAGAGAUGGAAAGCGGCGGACGGGUGAGUAACGCGUAGGCAACCUGCCUUAUGCAGAGGGAUAGCCAUUGGAAACGAUGAUUAAAACCUCAUAAUGCCAUUUUAUCACAUGGUGAGAUGGUCAAAGAUUUUAUCGCUGAUAGAUGGGCUCGCGUCCGAUUAGAUAGUUGGUGGGGUAACGGCCUACCAAGUCGACGAUCAGUAGCCGGACUGAGAGGUUGACCGGCCACAUUGGGACUGAGAUACGGCCCAGACUCC
This 264-nucleotide ribosomal RNA is filed under the name uncultured Eubacteriales bacterium. RNAcentral describes it as "uncultured Clostridiales bacterium partial 16S ribosomal RNA". It matches the Rfam family "Bacterial small subunit ribosomal RNA", at positions 76 to 339 of the family's 1533-position model. The record is from RNAcentral. Lineage: Bacteria; Bacillati; Bacillota; Clostridia; Eubacteriales.